Molecule: ribosomal RNA, 253 nt
Filed under: uncultured bacterium
Lineage: Bacteria
Description: partial 16S ribosomal RNA
Rfam family: Bacterial small subunit ribosomal RNA
Source: RNAcentral
UACGGGGGGGGUAAGCGUUGUUCGGAAUUACUGGGCGUAAAGGGCUCGUAGGCGGCCAACUAAGUCAUACGUGAAAUCCCUCAGCUUAACUGGGGAACUGCGUGUGAUACUGGAUGGCUUGGAUUUGGGAGAGGGAUGCGGAAUUCCAGGUGUAGCGGUGAAAUGCGUAGAUAUCUGGAGGAACACCGGUGGCGAAGGCGGCAUCCUGGACCAAUAUUGACGCUGAUGAGCGAAAGCUAGGGGAGCAAACGGG